CUCCGCCGGCCAAUCGCGCGAGUGCAGGGCGCUGGCUGGCUUGGCGCUGGCUCCAAGGCUAUGGAGCCGCUGGCGCGGGGGCGGCGUGUGAGGUGGUUGCGGAGCAGAGUCCUAUUCUAAGGACACGGGCUUGCAGGUUUCCACCAUGGUGUUGGGUGCCGAUCAGAAGAUGCCAGAUGACAAUGGUUCUGGAGACCAUGGAGACACUGCCAGUCUUGGUGCCAUCAACCCUGCUUACAGUAACUCCUCUCUUCCCGAGUCCACUGGGCACUCAGCGGAGCCCUUCACCACCUACUUUGAUGAGAAGAUCACCAUUCCUGAGGAGGAGUAUUCAUGUUUUAGCUUUCGGAAACUCUGGGCUUUCACAGGACCAGGCUUUCUUAUGAGCAUUGCCUACCUGGAUCCAGGAAACAUUGAAUCUGACUUGCAGUCUGGAGCUGUGGCUGGGUUUAAGUUGCUCUGGGUCCUUCUGCUGGCCACCAUUGUGGGGCUCCUGCUCCAGCGCCUUGCAGCUAGACUGGGAGUAGUCACUGGGCUGCAUCUUGCGGAAGUGUGUCACCAGCAGUAUCCCAAGGUUCCUCGAAUUAUCCUAUGGCUGAUGGUGGAGUUGGCUAUCAUUGGCUCAGACAUGCAAGAAGUCAUUGGCUCAGCCAUUGCCAUCAAUCUCCUGUCUGUGGGAAGGGUUCCACUCUGGGGUGGAGUUCUCAUCACCAUUGCAGAUACUUUUGUGUUUCUCUUUUUGGACAAAUAUGGCUUGCGGAAGCUAGAAGCAUUUUUUGGCUUUCUCAUCACUGUUAUGGCCAUCACAUUUGGAUACGAGUAUGUUACAGUGAAACCCGACCAGAGACAGGUACUCAGGGGCAUGUUCGUGCCAUCCUGUUCAGGCUGUACGACCCCACAGGUCGAGCAGGCUGUGGGCAUCGUGGGAGCUGUCAUCAUGCCACACAACAUGUACCUGCAUUCUGCCUUAGUCAAGUCGAGACAGGUAAACCGGGCCAAAAAGCAUGAAGUUCAAGAAGCCAAUAAGUACUUUUUCAUUGAAUCCUGCAUUGCUCUCUUUGUUUCCUUCGUCAUCAACGUCUUUGUUGUCUCAGUCUUUGCUGAAGCAUUUUUUGAGAAAACCAACGAGCAAGUGGUGCAAGUCUGUAAAAACACCAGCAUUCCCUGGACUGGCCUCUUCCCUGAUGAUAAUUCAACACUGACUGUGGACAUUUAUAAAGGGGGUGUCGUGCUGGGAUGUUACUUUGGUCCUGCUGCACUCUACAUCUGGGCGGUGGGGAUCCUGGCUGCAGGACAGAGCUCCACCAUGACAGGAACCUAUUCUGGCCAGUUUGUCAUGGAGGGAUUCCUGAACCUAAAAUGGUCACGCUUUGCCCGAGUGAUUCUUACCCGCUCUAUUGCCAUCAUUCCCACUCUGCUUGUAUCUGUCUUCCAAGAUGUAGAGCAUCUGACGGGAAUGAACGACUUCCUGAAUGUGCUGCAGAGCUUACAGCUUCCCUUUGCUCUCAUACCCAUACUCACAUUUACGAGUUUGCGGCCAGUAAUGAGUGACUUUGCCAAUGGAAUAGGCUGGAGGAUUGCAGGCGGAAUCUUGGUCCUUAUCGUCUGUUCCAUCAACAUGUACUUUGUGAUUGUUUAUGUCCAGGAACUAGGGCAUGUGGCGUUGUAUGUGGUGGCUGCUGUGAUCAGCAUAGCUUAUCUGAGCUUUGUGUUGUACCUGGGUUGGCAAUGUUUGAUUGCACUGGGCAUGUCCUUCCUGGACUGUGGGCACACGUACCAUCUGGGAUUGACAGCUCAGCCUGAACUCUACCUUCUGAACACCGUGGAUGCUGACUCACUUGUAUCUAGAUGACUGACAGCCUGAGAGACUAUAUAAGAACAACUUUCUUUAAGCCCUGUUGUGCCAAGUGUCCUGUUACAUAUAUUUGUUUAGUUCAGAGAGUUUACUGAAGCAUCGACCUCAACAUGUGGAACACACCAGGAAGCCAGCAAAAAUGGCCUCUGAGCAGCCAAAUGAACACCACAGAGUUCAUGCUCCCCAGUGACCAGAUAAAUGGUUUGCCGUUCCAGCCAUCUCCAGUCAGCAUAUGGUCACCUGUGCACCGGAUCCUGGACUAAGGUGAUGGCUGUGGAAGUGAAGUCUGAGGGACAAACUGAGAGGUAUGAGGAACAGGCAGAGCCUGAUGAAGAAUUAAUCAGAGGCUUUCUGAGCACCUGCUAUGUAGUAAGCACUGUCCAUGGCAUGUAGAAGAAAGGAAGAAGAUACAGGCAGUCUCCAGAUUACGAACGUGUUCCAUUCCUAAAUCUGUCUUUAAACUCAAUUUGUACUUAAAUCAGAAGUUAGGUAUGGUUCGUCUCUAGUAUCAGUCAAAUGUUUCUCUUAGCAUAUAGUAUAUAGUGUACCUUUCUAUGCAUAAAAAAAACAUUAAAGAAACACUUCCAGAUACACUAAAACAUCUUUAACGUAAUAAUAUAGUAAUAGUAAUAAUGUUUUGAUGCAUGUUUCAAAGUUGCACCCAUUUGUUAUUACAAAUCAUUGUAUGUAUCUCAGAUUUUUAAUUUAAUAGGCUUUAUGGGGAUUGGUUUGUAACUUCGGGUUGUACAUAAGCUGGAUGUUCAUAGCUCAGAGACUGCCUGUAUUGGUGAUGUAAAAUUACACCAUUGGGUACUAGUGAAUGAGUGUUAAGAGAUUUCUCACAAAGGAAGCUUCUUGAAAUAGCCAGUGAAGGCUUUGUAGAAGGAAUAUCAUUUUAUAUGGUCCUUGAAGAAUAUAGGGGAAUAAUCAAAGGUGGUGGAGAAGUUGCAAAGAGUUGCUUAUUUAGGGAAAGUGACAAUGAAUUCUGUUUUUGAUGCGUCAAAUUCUGAAUAUCAAAGGACUGGCAGAAGUGUGUGUGAGGUGCAGGAAUCUUCUUCACACGGGUGAUGAUUCACAACCUGAGAGUAGAAGAAAGGUUCAAAGGAUUGAAUACAAGGAUAAAACCCACUGCCCUCGAGUUGAUUCCAACUCAUAGCAACCUUAUACAAUACAGGGAUGGUACAGAGCAUAAGAGUCUUGGGGGACCACUCACAGUGAAAUGGUGGAGGAAGGAGAAUACAGAGCUACAGAGGUCUUGGAAUCAGGAGACGACCUGGAGAGGCAGUACUGCAUAGUGAGGAGGCCCGGGUUUCAGAGUCAGGUGAAACCAAGCAAAAACCAAACCAUUCUCUGUCGAGUCAUUUUCGACUCAUAGCGACCCUACAGGAUAGAGCAGAACUGCCCCCAUGGGGUUCCAAAGCUGUAAUUUUUGUGGAAGGAGAUUGCCUUAUCUUUUUCCUGCGGACCGGUUGGUGGGUUUGAACGACCUCUUGAUUAGCAGUGAAGUGCUUAACCGCUGUACCACCAGGGCUCCUUCAAAGCUAGGUAAAAGACAUGGGGAUACUCCUGUGGUCUCUCAUUGUGUGCCUUUGGUAAGUGACAUAACCUCCUUAAAUCUGUUUUCUCAUUUGUUGGAUGGAGGUAAUCAUACCUGUGUUACAGAGUUAUGAGAACUAUAUGAAAUGAAUGUGUAAAAAGUUAAUGCCUGGCAUAAAGAAGACACUUGAUAAAGGGAAGUUUUUAUUAUCGGGUAUUAGAGUCAUGGAAUAAAACGAUCAUUCUGAGAAAAAGGUUGACAUCAGUGUCAGAUACAUUUUAGAGGCUGAGAAGGAUGCGGCCUGAGGUAAGACUAUUGGGCCUGAGUGAUUUUUACUUUUAAGAAUGGUAAAAUCUGAAUGGUAAUAUUCCUAGUUCAUUCAUGUAUAUUCCAAUGUAGUUUUCUACAGUUUCCCAAAUAGUUUUUUCUGUAGAAACACAAUAACGCCUUGCUUGAUCUUCAUAUUAUUAUUUUUUUAACUGAACUAGAAAUAGGAAUGUCGGUCAGUCUGUUUAUUUUCUGUGACUUCAGUUAAUAUGACUUCUGCCCCCAAUUCUCAUGCACCGGUACUAGUUCUGUGGUUCAACAGGGAAUUCUGGUAAUUCUUUCACGUAGCACACAUGCUUUUGGUUUUAAAUAUUCAGAUAAUUAAAGUGACACUUACUGAAUAGUUUUCUUUUUUGCUUUUCUUGACAUUAGCCUGCUGUGGUUCUUUACUCUUUCAAUUGCCUAACUGGAUAAACAAGAAUUGAAUUUCAGUUAUGUUAAGUUCUGUGUUUUCAAAGGGAAAGGCUUACGUUAGGGUCAGGAGGACAAAAGGAGCUAUUAUACAAUGCUUGCUUCACUUUCUUUUCAAGUGUGAAAUAUGUAGGAAUUCAAAAGAAACAACUGGAAUAUUAGAAUAUUUAGGAACAAAGUGUUUUAUAAGAUUUUUUUUUUUUUUUUGUCAGCCAUUAAACUAAGAGUUGGGCUUACUGCUUCAGGGUCUUUAACAAAAUUAGGAAGAAGCUGAUGAAAUAGUAGCCACCCCAGCCUCUGCCCUUCAGGGUCUGGUGCCCAACUCUGCCUGCUUUCUUUCGGUUCCUUCAGCAUACUGUGUUCCCUCCCUUUCUUCAGCCUUGGCAUAAGCUGUUCCAUUAGACUGAAGUACUCUUUAUUCAUCCUUUGGAGCUCAGUUCAGCUGCCACUUCCUCAGAUAAACCUCUGACCCAUCUUUCUCCAGGGUAGGUUUCCUGCCGCCCUACUGCUAUGAAGGCGAACCCUCAUAGAUAGCAUUUAUCACAAUUGUAUGUUCCAUGAGAGCAGGGGCCAUGUGGUCCUUUUUCAGGGCUCUAAGCCAAGCACCAGGAACAGACCACAUAAUAGGUACUCAAUAAAUAUUUUUUCAAUGAAGUGAACAUUUAUUAAGUGCCAAGUGCAUCAUUUCAUUUACUCCUCACAACAAUACUCUAGGUAGAUAUUAUCUUCAUUUUAAGAUAAAGUCUCUGAGACUAGAGAAGUAAUUAAUUACCCAAAGUCAUAUAUGGUCACCAGGCAGAACCUGACCUAGGUCACUUGGAUAAGCCAGUGUUUCAUUUUGUCUUAUAUUUUCCUUGUUGCGUGCAGUUAUCCCACUGAAAAGCCAGCGUUCCAGGAACUGUCCCAUGUGAUCUCCUAUAGGAAAGCAGACAGAGGAUCUUUUAAUGGGCCUUUGUUGUGUGCCUUCCCAGCAUCCAUCCCCUUUUCUCCCCGUCACUGCCUCCGUUUUUAUCUGGAGGAUAUACAACUCUCCUCGCCUAAGUCCACGGGGUCUGAGUGGGCUCAGCCUUGGGAUGAAGCCCUAUGACCUACACUGGAGCUAAUUAGCAUAAUCAAUCCCCUCUUGCCAUAGUGGUUGGUUCAGGGAUGGGCUCGAGAUAUAGGAUGGUCAAUCAGAGCCAACGAGACUCCACCCAGGACUUUGGUUGGAGUUUUUGCAAAAGUGGACUUGCUCUUUCCACUGGCCUUGGACGCGUAGAGAUUGGAGUUACUGUCACCAACUCUCCCCACCCCCACCUGACAGGACAGAGAGGAAGGCAGACCUGACCCGAGAGACUUUUUGGCUCCUGAUGACAUUACCUGAGCCCUGCUCAAGCUGUGCUUGCUGCUUUCUGCCCCUACGCUUUUCACUAAUUUAAGCCAAUAAAUCACUUUUUCUGCGUAAGCCAGUUUGGGUUGGGAGCUUUGUCACUUGCAAACAAAGGAAUCCUAAAAAAAAACGGACAUUUUUGCUUUUUUUUUUUUUUUCUGUUUCCAUUUUUCACAGGCUUAAGUCACCUCCUCAGGUUCUUUGAAUCAGAAUUGACUCGACGGCACUGGGUUUGGUUUUUUGGUUUUAGGCUGACUUAGGAGUCAGCAUUGACUUGCUGGCAAUGGGUUUGGUUUUUUUUUUAGGCUGACCUAACCAAUAAUGAGGUGGGUAGAUUAAGGAAGUUCCUACUUUUGGGAGACUGCAGAGGGAGAUUUAUGUUGCAGAGCUCAGGAGGCCUCAGAUAACAUCCCAACCCCUUCAACAACAGCUGUUUUGGCAGGGAUUCAUGGUCAAGAAGUCAUUCAGAGAGUAGUAAGCUUCCUUUCUGCCUGUGGAUUUUACAAAUAGGGUCUUGGGACUUGAACUUUUCAAAACCCAUUCUGAUUCUCCCAAGAUUGCUUAUUCUAAAAUCUACUAGCUAUGUUUAUAGUUACCUAGUUGUAGAAAGAAAAAUCUGUAGCUUAAUUUUCCACAAUGAAGACCUCCUAGAGAAAUUGAGAAAAAUGAAGCCAAACUAGCAAAGCUGUAAAUCAUUUACUUCCAUUCUGAUUUAGUAGAUGAUAUUGGAGCCAUUACUCCUUGUCCUAGAAUGUGACCCAGCUGGAGCUGGACUCACAAGGACACAUCAACUGGGCCCUGAAGUAUUAAGACAAUAGCUAAGAUAAUCUUGGAAAAUAUCUUUUAGGGAAACUUUCACAUAAAGCCAAUCAAACAGAACACAAAAUACUUUCCACUCUGAUCUUUGUCUAUUAGCAUUUAGUGAAUAGAAAAUUUGCUGGACCAGUGAAAACCCUCCUGUGUUCUGAAACCUGUACUAGUGAUUGUUAAGAGGGAUGAUUCAAAACGUAGAAUCACAGUUUCUAGCCAAUCUGAAAAGGUGAAGCUUUCAAUGGUUUUGCCCAUUGUGUAGUGUUAACAUAUUCUGAUGACACUGUAAUGUUUCUUGGACUUGGACAGACAUGGCUAUGGCAGCAAGCUUGUCCAUUUUCCCAUUCUUGCUUAUUCUAUAGUUUCCUUGGACUCAGGCAGACAUGGCUCUAGCAGCGUGCUUGUCCACUUCCCACUUUUGCCUUUUUGAAUAUAUGCCGAAUAAAACUUUCUUUUUGCUUUACUAAACUUUGUGAUGUUUUUUACCCUACAACAAUUCCUAAAAUGAAUGUGAACUUAUUGGUUGAUUUGAUAUUUAAAAUAAUCCCUUUGCAAAUUCACCUCAGAAAAAAAUACUAAAUUUAUUAAAAUACAUACAAUUAUUGAAAAUCCUAUUUUUACAUCCCUGACUGACCAAUCUAACACUUGUUUUCGAAGCACUUAUGAUUUUCACAAGUUAUCGUAGUUACAAAAGACAAAGAAAUCAUCUUGGGACAGAAGUGGAAUUUGAUCAGAAUAAUCCGAAACAUACUUGUUUACUUCCUCUUUACAGACUCUCAGAUUGCCUGGUUUUUAGUGGCUCUUACAUUGUGUAUUACACAAGGUUUUCCUAAUUACAGUGGACCUUAUCCUAACCUUGCCUGCAAUCCACUACGUUCAGCAAAGAUUAUCCUAGAUAAUAAAGAAAGUGAACUCUAAACCUUAUUCACCUCAAAUAGUACUAUGGAUAGACUAAACUGUCAAGUAAUGAGCCCUGGUGGAAUAGUGGUUAAGUGUUCAGCUGCUAACCGAAAGGUUGGAGGUUCAAACCCACCAGCCACUCCUUAGGAGAAAGAUGUGGCAGUCUACUUCCCUAAAGAUUACAGCCUUGGACACCCUAUGGGGCAGUUCUACUCAGUCCUAUUCACCAGAUGACCUUUUUUUUUUUUUUUGUAAAGCGUUCAAUCUUUAAGUAUUGAGAGCUGGAAUGCAGAAAAACAAACUUUGGUGGAGUACUUGAACAAAAGACUUUACAAAGCUGGGCAGAACUGGGUGCUGCAUCCUCUUAACAUUAAUUCUGAAAGCCAGCCCAGUGACAGGAAGAAUGACAGAUUUGGAUUUCUUUUUCAGAAACUUUGUGCUAUUAGGCAUGGAUUUUCAAUUUUUUAGUGUGUUUAUUCAGUUGGUAAAUGAUUAAGGUCUUUUCACUUCUCCCUUUUAAAAAUCUUCUUUUGAGUAAUUUAACUGCUUAUUAGGACUAAGUUCACAAAGAGGAGAUAGAAUUAAAAUCUGUUGGUCAACAAUUUAAAUGAUACAACUGGAAAAAAUUUGACACUACUGAAUAAAAGGAAGGUUCAGGGAUAAUGGUGGACUUAAAUUUUAAAAGCACAUUGUUUUCUUUUAGAGGAGACCUCAAAGCUGUUUUUGUUUUUUAGUUCUUUGGGAAACAAUAGAAAAUAGAAUUGUCAAAGUGUAAUGACACAGAAUCUGCUUAAAAUCAAAACAAGAGAUUUAUUGAAAGUAAAAAGACAGCUCCAGCCAGGGACGUGCCAGAUCUCAUGAAAAUGAAAUCAAACCUUUUGGCUAACAGCAGUUACAAACAUGUAAUUAUAGGGUUAGAUGAAGAACUCCGGCUAUAAUAUCCUGAUGGGUGGGUGAGUAAUUAGCGAAGUAGGCGGCAGGACAUCUCCAAGUGGUGGCUUUAAGAUGAUUGGAUUAAAGGGUAUAUGUGUGCCCUUUAGACUGGUUAUAUGUUAACUAGUUAUGGGAAAAACCACAAAGAUCUUAAAAACAAUUUGCUCUUUUACAUUUGAAUGGUUACCUUCUCAGGAAGGCACAAGCAGGAGCCUUUAAACAAAAUGGGGUCUGGCCUACUCCUAGGCCAGCCACCUUGGAUAUGCCAGACACCACUGUUAUGAAGCUCUUAUUCAAAAUAUAACAGAAAACUUUUAAGGCUGUAAUUAAACUUGAACUAAAAACGCGUUUCCCUUCUCCCAAUUAGUAUUUUAAAUGUAAAACUGAAGCCUUAGAGUAUUUGAGCCACAGUGCUCUCUACUGCCGGCCCACACUAUUUCACAGCAUAUCCGAAGAUGUGGGGGCGCACCAGAUCCCAGGCCAGCGGGGCCUGCAAAUGUUGCAGCUUCAGCUUAGAAAAGCCGGCCCUCUCCAGGGUCUUCCAGCUCUCUCUGGUCAGGUUGCACCCAUCAAACAGAAGGAGCCAGAAGGGUUCCAGGACCUGUUGCCAGAAGUAGGUCCAGGUCGAAGGCUUAGCUGCCACAUGCUCCAUGAAAUAAAAAGCUCCUCCCUGAGAAAGAAAGCCAAUACAAGAAUUUUUAGUUUUGGGAAAACAGGUUUAUAAAAUGAUUCAAGUGUCAGUUUUCAGUGGCCCCAGAGGCCAGCUUCAUGAGAAGACAAUGAAAUGGAUAAAUUAAGACUUACUAAGAGAUCAUGUUGGUCAGUAUUUUCAUUCUUUAUCAAAUUUUAUAGAUGGAGCUGUAACCUAGUCAAAUUUUAUAGAUAAAUCUAUGAUUAAUUUAAAGCAAUUAAAAUAUUUUUUUGAUCAUAAAAACAAUGCAUAAUAAUAGCUAAAAUUUAAGCACUUACUGCAUGCCCGGUACUGUCCUUAAUGGCUAUCAUGAAUUAACUCAUUUAAUCCUCACGACAAACUUAACAGGUUAAGUAUUAUUAUCACCCUGUUUUUACAGACGAGUCACACAGAGAAUAAGUAACUUGCCCAAGGUCACACAGCUUUUAAAUGUCAGAACCAGGCUUUGAACCUAGGCGGUCUGGCUCCAGAGGCUGGCAGUGCUCCUUACCAAUGUGUUUAUUUUAGAAACUUUGGAAACUACAGAAAAGCUUUAACAACAAAAACAACCAACCACCAUCCCAUCACCUAGGAAUAACUCCUGUUAACGUUUCGUUGUGUAUGCUUUUAUAUAAAUAUGCAUGUUUUUCCUAAAACUUGUAAUAAUGCAUUGUUUUGUAACCUGCUUUAUUUUACUUAAAAAAACCCAGUGCCAUCGAGUCGAUUCCGACUCAUAGCGACCCUAUAGGACAGAGUAGAACUGCCCCAUAGAGUUUCCAAGGAGCUUCUGGCGGAUUCAAACUGCACACCCUUUGGUUAGCAGCCAUAGCACUUAACCACUAUGCCACCGGGGUUUCCAACUUACGUACAUAUUUUACUUACGUACUAAAUUUUACUAUUAUUCUGAAACAUUAUUUUUUAAAUCUUUACACAUUUCAGACUGCUGACGGCACCAUCUCUUAUUUAACCACUCUCAUUUAGGUUAUUUAUAAUUGUUCACUAUUAUAAAUACUGUUAAAUGAACAUCCUUAUCCACAAAUCUUUGUUAUCAGCUCUAAUUAUUUCCAAAUAAAUAACUUGCUAAAAAGUGCAAUUGCUGAACUGAAGGUCUGUGCCUUUUUAAAGCUUUUGGUGCAAGUUGUCAAACUGCCCUUUGGAAAAGUUUUACCAAAUUUACACUCAUACCAGCAAUGCAUAGAAGUACCCAUCCCCAUAUGCCCUAUCAACACUGUUUUUUUGUUUUUGUUUUUUUCCAUUUUUGUCAAUUUGUCUAUCUUUGUAAAAAAAUGGUAUUUCAUUUUAAUAAAUGUGCAUAUCUGUAAUAGUCUUAAUAAAUAUCAAGUGUUUUACAAAAGCUACUGGUUAUUUGGAUUUCUUCUUUUCUGAUGUGUCUGUUCAUAUACUUCGUCGGUUUUCUCGUACGGUUUGUUGGUUUUUUCCUUAUGGAUUAGUAAGGCUUUUAGUAUAUAAUAAAACUAUGUAGGAUCUCUAUGGGUCAGAAUUGACUCAAUGGCAAUGGGUUUGGUUUUUGGUUUAUACUACAAAUAUUUUUCCCUGUUUCCGGUUUGCCUUUUAAUUUGAAUUAAAAAAUGUGUUUACUUCUACUUCUUUUAUUUAUUUAUUUUUUUUUAAUAACUUUUAUUAAGCUUCAAGUGAACGUUUACAAAUCCAAUCAGUCUGUCACAUAUAAGUUUACAUACAUCUCACUCCCUACUCCCACUUACUCUCCCCGUCUUGAGUCAGCCCUUUCAGUCUCUCCUUUCUUGACAAUUUUGCCUGCUUCCCUCUCUCUCUAUCCUCCCAUUCCCCCUCCAGACAAGAGUUGCCAACACAAUCUCAAGUGUCCACCUGAUAUAAUUAGCUCACUCUUCAUCAGCAUCUCUCUCCCACCCGCUGACCAGUCCCUUUCAUUUCUGAUGAGUUGUCUUCGGGGAUGGUUCCUGUCCUGUGUCAACAGAAGGUCUGGGGAGCAUGGCCGCCGGGAUUCCUCCAGUCUCAAUCAGACCAUUAAGUUUGGUCUUCUUAUGAGAAUUUGGGGUCUGCAUCCCACUGAUCUCCUGCUCCCUCAGGGGUCCUCUGCUGAGCUCCCUGUCCGGGCAGUCAUCGAUUGUGGCCGGGCACCAACUAGUUCUUCUGGUCUCAGGAUGAUGUAGGUCUCUGGUUCAUGUGGCCCUUUCUGUCUCUUGGGCUCUUAGUUGUCAUAUGGGCUUGGUGUUCUUCAUUUUCCUUUGCUCCAGGUGGGUUGAGACCAAUUGCUGCAUCUUAGAUGGCUGCUUGUUAGCAUUUAAGACCCCAGACGCCACAUUUCAAAGUGGGAUGCAGAAUGAUUUCAUAAUAGAAUUAUUUUGCCAAUUGACUUAGAAGUCCCCGCAAACCAUGUUCCCCAGACCCCCGCCCUUGCUCCGCUGACCUUUGAAGCAUUCAUUUUAUCCCGGAAACUUCUUUGCUUUUGGUCCAGUCCAAUUGAGCUGACCUUCCAUGUAUUGAGUGUUGUCUUUCCCUUCACACAAUUCACCUGAAGUUGUUCUCAGGCUUUGCCUUGGAAACUUGUUGGCGAACCAUAGAGUCCUCCCUCAGGCGAGUCUGAACCCACACCAAGCACUGCCUCGGGAUUGAAUAACCAGGCCUCAUGCUUUUGGACCAUUUUCAAAGUGUGUAAAUGAUACAACUAAUGAAAACAGAUUCAUCUAAAAGCAUUACUGAAUUCAUGGUAGCAUUUUGUCAUCAGAUAUUUUAUUCCAUCAGUGGAUGCUAAGUAUAAAUUACUGCUAUGUAAGAAUUAGUAACUGUUGCUUCAACCUUGCGCAGUCCUAUGCAGAGAGUCCCGACUUCUGACGUAUUUGAGUUAUGAUGAACCACACUUAUGAUCUCCUUCUUUUUGUAUACCGUAUUGUUAGUACCUCAUACAGUCCUGCACCACAUAAUUUGCUGAUGCUAUCAUUCUCAGAUGUUCAGUUUUAUGAUUUACUGUUCAAAACACUGCUGUAUAGCAAGCUGGAACAUUGCAUCUUCCUGGGAGGCAGUUAACGGGAAAAUGCAUGAAGGGGGUUUGGAAAAAAUUGCUGAAUCAUAUGACCAUGGUUCAAGCAUUUGAUCAGGAUAAUAUGAUGGAGGAUAUCGGUGGAAGAAUAAUCCAUAUAACAAGAACACCUAAGACAGGGAGCAAAGGCCCUGAGAUCAGAGAGUGCCUGUUUGAAAAAUAGUGAAGAGACUGGUGUGGUUAGAGGAGAAACAAGUAAAAGAGAAAUAGACUAUAAGAGAGGUAACAGGGGGUUGAGUGUGAAGCCUAGAAAUAGGCCAGGGCACAGAAACAAAGCCAUUCCCCAGAACAAUGGGGCAGGGUAUCUAAAAAUAGCCCGCAAACUUCUUUAACAGUUGCCUUUCAGGAGCAGCUAGAGAAAACCAGGCCCAGGGACAGGGGCAGUACAUGCACCUGUGACCACAGUGUGACCCACAGUGUGACCUUCCACCAGAGGCAGUUAGGGGCUACAGCCCCAGCCAGGGAAUCGAACCCAGAGAGCGGGAGACUGCACAGGUGUGACACCCCAUAAUAAGUCCUGCUACAAAUCCCAGAGGUCUCCAAGACAGAAGCCAUCUUGGAAAGGUGCUGCACAUGCACCUUAGUUAACAUAUCCCCGCCUGUGUCUACGAAUAAACAUGAAUCUUUUCCCGCCCAAGAACUUCUAAAAACUUGGCCCGUCUUUUGUUCUGUGAGAUGGGGGCAAGUGUUGCUCUAGGCCGUCCUUGUCUCCGCUUGCAAGACUCUUCACUAAAGCUUUGCUCUGUGGAAAACUGUGUGCCUUACCUGCUCAUUCUUGACCAGUGAGAGGCAAGAGACCCUUUGGGUCCCGUUGUCAGACCCAAGGCAGUGUGGAGAGGAGAAUUGCCUGACCCCAGCGGACAAACGAAGCAGCUGCCGAAACUGAUUUCUUCUCACAUUUCUCCGCCAGGGAAGGACUUCUCUCUCCCCCUUACUCCUCGUGGCCCGACCUUCCUUUCAUUUUCCUCCUGAGCAAACUUUCUGUUUUUCCUUGGAAAUGCAAAGUGCAAUGACGAGGACUCAACAGAAAUCAAACUGGUGGAUGAGUCGCUCGCCUGGGUAAGGUCACCCAGGAGUCCCCCACGGAUGUGUGUCUCAUACCGUGGGGGCCGGAGGCACUAGUGAAGGGCGAAGCAUCCCCAGAGUGAUGGGUCUGAACUGAUCCUAGGGACCAAGGGACACAUUCCAUGGAGAGUCCCCAGAGUGAUGGGCUUUUCAAACCCUAGGGACCAAAGGACGCCUUCUUUCUGACCCCAGGGAGUAGGAAAUUUCUGACUUGCUGGUAGUGCACCCUUGGCAGGAACUGCAGCUGCCCCUUUUCCUCUCCUCUCCUCUCAAGCUGGCCUUUUGCCCAGCCCCUUGUUUCAGCUGUCGUUUUUGUGCGUCUAGAUAUUGUCUGUCUCCAGAUGGUACACCCUGUUUCUGGGGAAAUGCAUGUAGAGGUCUGUGGAUUGAGAGAGUGAAGUCCUUCUGCUCAGUAUUGGAGAUAAGUGGUAUCUAGAUCAAAGUAGAGAUUCAGAUAUUCCUGACUUGUCUGGUCUGAGCGCUCUCUGUCUUAUGUGUGACUGGGGCUGUCUGGGCAGUUGAGACUGCGAGGUUGUCUUAGUAGCCUCUGUCUGUGUCUUGUUUGUUGAGUUGAUACUUGUUGUCUGUGUGCGCCCCAGAGUAUUCGGCCUUAGGUCUUACUGAGUAGACCCUUACUGACUCCUUCCCAGAUCUCUUUCUUCCUUUUUGUUGUCCUAUCAAAGGGAGAAAGCCACCAGUCAUACUUGGACCUGGUGCAAACGUGAUUCUCUGGAAAAGAUAACCCAUUCACAGAGCAAAACCCAUCCUCAGGGACUUCGAAGCUCUCGGCAGCUUUGUGAAAUUGCUUGAACUGCUUAAAAAUCUUGAUCCAGCAGGGUAGAGUCCAGAUCUUAUAAUCACCAGGACGUCUGUUCUAGGGACCUCCAUCCAGCCCCAGGGUCUUUAGUAACAGGACAUUAAGAAAUACAGGAUAGGUACCGGUUCUAGUAUCCCCAAGGACCCUCCCCUGGGCUGCUUAUUGAGCAAUUGGUUAUCUUUUGCUUUCGACGGAUUAAUGAAAGAGCAGUUGAUUUUGGCCACAAUAUUCUCUAGGAGAUCCGGAGACUUGGCCUAGGGAUGGGAGUCUUUCCUAUAAUACCAUCCAUCAGCUGGAUCUAUUUUGUAAGAAGGAAAAUGGGAAGAGAUCCCUUAUGUACAAGCCUUCAUGGCCCUUUAUCAAGACCCAAAUCUUAGAGCCAAACGUAAAUUUAAAAGAGAAGGAGAGGAAUCCGUUAAACUCUUCUUACUAAAGUCAGAAGAGGGAAGAUUUACCUUUGGACCCCCCUUCCCAAGCCCCAGUUAAACCUACUGCACCUCCAAAUGUGGAAGAGGAGGUAUGCACUGUGAGUGCCUCCUCUGAUUCCCUUGGGACUGUAAACUCAGAGUCUCCGCUAUAUAUCCCUUCGACUGGUAUUCAGUUAAUUUAAAGACUCCACACCCAGGGACUGAUGAAAAUGCUCCUUUGUCUACGUGUGCUCCACAGUCCCCUUCACUGGCCCCAGUUCCAACAGAACCUAACCCUUUAAUUUACCAACCUUCUCCUAUGGGAUUGAGGUUGGGAAAUAAGUUGUACCCACCUUUGCCUCCUACACAAGGCCCCGGGAUGUAUCCCUUAAGACAGGUAACCUGCUGAUGGGAAUAGAAGAAUCACACGGAUACAUGUCCCCUUCUCAGUGUCUGACCUUAGCUUACGUAAAGAAAAACUGGGGAAUGUCUCUGAAGAUCCUGAAAAAUUUAGAGACGAAUUCAUGAAACUUAGUCUGAACUUUAGUCUAACUUGAGGAGAUGUUAUGGUUAUUCUUACUCAUUGCUGUUCCUCUCAUGAAAAGGCCAGAAUUCUGACAAAGGCCAGAGAGUGUGCUGAUGGUGUCCAUUGACCCCAUCUGACUCAUGAAAUUUUUAAACCAGGAGGGGAAGCAGUUCCCAAGAUAGAUGCAGGGUGGGAUUAUAAUACAGAUGUGGGAUCAGAAAAAGCCAAACAUCUAGUUACUUGUGUAUUAGAGGGAAUUCAAAAGUGCAUCACUAAGCCUGUUAACUAUGACAAAGUCAGAGAAGUCACUCAGGAUUAGAAGAGAAUCCAGCUGUAUUCUUCACCAGGCUUACUGAAUCUUUUAGGAAAUACACCGAUGUUGACCCUGAAAGUAGGGAAGGGAGAGCCUUAACAGCCAUGCAUUUUAUCUCCCAGUCUGCAACGGACAUAAGACCAGAAAACUACACAAAUUGGAAGCUGGCCCCCAGACCUCACUCUCCCAACUGGUGGAGGAGGCUUUUAAGGCGUUCAAUAAUAGAGACGUGGCUGCCAAGGAGAAAGCGAAGGAGGUAUCUGAAAAAAAAACUGAAGAGAAAAGCCUGUUUGUUGGCAAUUGCUCUCCAAGGCCACCCACCCCAACCGCAGAGGACCCUGAAAGCCUGGAUUUGGGCCAGCGCGGCGGCCAGUGAGUAUAUUCCCUGACCAGUGUGGGUAUUGUCAAAAGCAAGCCCACUGGAAGGUAGAGUGCCCUGAGCGCCCUAAAGCAGGACGCCCAGUUGAUCCCCCUCGAAGGUCUGGACCGACAACCCCCAUUCAGAGAAUGACGACAGAAGACGGUCUUGAAGAGGCCGAACACUGACGGGGUCCUGGAGCUCGCCUAGCUCCCAACUGUACCAUCAAUAUCUCCAUGGGAGAGCCCAGGGUUACAUUCGACGUGGAAGGCGACUGAGAGGUUGACGUAACUGAGGCCAUGAGAAACAUGUGCCCCUUGUCUGCGUUUGGAAACUAUUCCUAUUUUCCUGCUGGAGUUUCACACGCAUAGCGCAUGUACACCCCAGCUCGGAGGGCCAAAGACUUUUAAACAGGAAACAGAAUCUGUGGAUGGAGCCUGAUUAAACGCCGAUCUCCAAGGCCCCUUUAACACAACAUGUCCCCUUCCUUCCUCCUAGCCUCCCCAAUUCCCGCAACCCACGUCCCUAGUUCCUGAAAAACAAAGGUCAUGCCUGCCUGGUGACUCACAGUUCACAAGUAUUCGCCCUUGGCUUUCUGGGCAGAGGGUCUCAGAUGUUCAUAACUGAACAGCAAGGUUAUUCUUAAAUUACUGUUUUGGCCAGCCCACGUUUUAAAGGACAGGUCUCAGUCUUCAAACUGUACCCAACUACCAUGCAACCAGCUAACUUAGAUAAAAGCAGUUUGCAGAAUAUUCACAUUUGAGAAGCUAAAGUAUUCAAAAAAUAGUUUUAAACAUUCAUCUGUUUCUAACAAGUAAAGCCUGGGCUUCAGGGUGACCCGGGAAAGAGAAAUUUUUAAAAAUACUGAUAACUACUUUUUAAAAUUGGGGUGAUGGAUACAGGGAGUGUACUGUUGUUUCAUUAUCUGUUAUAUCUUGUACAUUUUUUAUGAAUAUCUUUAUCUACUCCAUUUCUAAACAACUUAUUUGAGGCAGAAUUAACAUGAUAAACUGUACACAUUUAAAGUGUACAGUUUGAUAAAUUUUGACAUAUGCAUACAUCCAUGAAACUCAGCACCUCAAUCAAGAUAAUGACAUCUCCAUCACCCUCAAAAGUUUCUUUUGCCCCUUCAUAAUUCCUUCAACUGCCCCCUCCCAUCCCAAAGCAACAAUCUGUUUUCUGUCAUUAGAGAUUAGUUUGCAUUUUCUAGAAUUUUAUAUAAGUGGAAACAUACAGUAUGUACUUUUUUUUUUUGGUCUGGCUUCUUUCUUUCAGUGUAUUUUGAGAGACAUCCUCAUUUGUUGAAUGUAUCAAUAGUUCAAUCAAUUUUACUGCUGAAUUUACACGUGUCUGUCAGUUUGUCGUACUGUGGGGGCUUGUGUGUUGCUGUGAUGCUGGAAGCUAUGCCACCGGUAUUCAGAUACCAGCAGGGUCACCCAUGGAGGACAGGUUUCAGCUGAGCUUCCAGACUAAAACAGACUAGGAAGAAGGACCCAGCAGACUACUUCUGAAAAGCAUUAGCCAGUGAAAACCUUAUAUAUAGCAGCAGAGCAUUGUCUGAUAUAGUGCUGGAAGAUGAGCCCCCCAGGUUGGAAGGCACUCAAAAGAUGACUGGGGAAGAGCUGCCUCCUCAAAGUAGAGUCGACCUUAAUGACGUAGAUGGAGUAAAGCUUCCGGGACCACCAUUUGCUGAUGUGGCAUGACUCAAAAUGAGAAGAAAGAGCUGAAAACAUCCAUUAAUAAUCGGAACCUGGAAUGUACCAUGUAUGAAUCUAGGAAAAUUGGAAAUCAUCAAAAAUGAAAUGGAACACAUAAACAUCGAUAUCCUAGGCAUUAGUGAGCUGAAAUGGACUGGUAUUGGCCAUUUUGAAUCAGACAAUCAUAUAGUCUACUAUGCUGGGAAUGACAACUUGAAGAGGAAUAGCGUUGCAUUCAUCGUCAAAAAGAACGUUUCAAGAUCUAUCCUAAAGUACAACGCUGUCAGUGAUAGGAUAAUAUCCAUACACCUACAAGGAAGACCAGUUAAUACAACUAUUAUUCAAAUUUACGCACCAACCACUAGGGCCAAAGAUGAAGAAAUAGAAGACUUUUAUCAGCUGCUACAGUCCGAAAUUGAUCAAACAUGCAAUCAAGAUGCAUUGAUAAUUACUGGUGAUUGGAAUGCGAAAGUUGGAAACGAAGAAGGAUCAGCAGUUGGAAAAUAUGGCCUUGGGAAUAGAAACAAUGCCGGAGAUCAAAUGAUAGAAUUUUGCAAGACCAACAACUUCUUCAUUGCAAAUACUUUCUUUCACCAACAUAAAACGGCAACUAUACACAUGGACCUCACCAGAUGGAACACACAGAAAACAAAUUGACUACAUCUGUGGAAAGAGAUGAUGGAAAAGCUCAAUGUCAUCAGUCAGAACAAGGCCAGGGGCUGACUAUGGAACAGACCAUCAAUUGCUCAUACGCAAGUUCAAGCUGAAACUGAAGAAAAUCAGAGCAAGUCCACGAGAGCCAAAAUAUGACCUUGAGUAUAUCCCACCUGAAUUUAGAGACUGUCUCAAGAAUAGAUUUGACGCAUUGAACACUAGUGACUGAAGACCAGAUGAGUUGUGGAAUGACAUCAAGGAUAUCAUCCAUGAAGAAAGCAAGAGGUCACUGAAAAGACAGGAAAGAAAGAAAAGACCAAGUUGGAUGUCAGAGGAGACUCUGAAACUUGCUCUUGAGCAUCAAGCAGCUAAAGCAAAAGGAAGAAUUGAUGAAGUAAAAGAACUGAACAGAAGAUUUUAAAGGGCCUCUCGAGAAGACAAAAUAAAGUAUUAUAAUGACAUGUGCAAAGACCUGGAGACAGAAAACCAAAAGAGAGGAACACUCUUGGUGUUUCUCAAGCUGAAAGAACUGAAGAAAAAAUUCAAGCCUCAAGUUGCAAUAGUGAAGGAUUUCAUGGGUAAAAUAUUAAAUGAUGCAGGAAGUAUCAAAAGAAGAUGGAAGGAAUACACAGAGUCAUUAUACCGAAAAGAAUUAGUUGAUAUUCAACCAUUUCAAGAGGUGGCAUAUGAUCAGGAACCGAUGGUACUGAAGGAAGAAGUCCAAGCUGCUCUGAAGGCAUUGGUGAAAAACAAGGCUCCAGGAAUUGAUGGAAUAUCAAUUGAGAUGUUUCAACAAACAGAUGCAGCGCUGGAGGUGCUCACUUGUCUACACCAAGAAAUAUGGAAGACAGCUUUCUGGCCAACCGAGUGGAAGAGAUUCAUAUUUAUGCUUAUUUCCAAGAAAGGUGAUCCAACCGAAUGUGGAAAUUAUAGAACAAUAUCGUUAACAUCACACGCAAGCAAAAUUUUGCUGAAGAUCAUUCAAAAACGGCUGCAGCAGUAUAUCGACAGGCGACUGCCAGAAAUUUAGGCCGGUUUCAGAAGAGGACAUGGAACCAGGGAUAUCAUUGCCGAUGUCAGAUGGAUCCUGGCUGAAAGCAGAGAAUACCAGAAGGAUGUUUACCUGUGUUUUAUUGACUAUGCAAGGGCAUUUGACUGUGUGGAUCAUAACAAACCAUGGAUAACACUGCGAAAAAUGGGAAUUCCAGAACACUUAAUUGUGCUCAUGAAGAACCUUUACAUGGAUCAAGAGGCAGUUGUUUGGACAGAACAAGGGGAUACGGAUUGGUUUAAAGUCAGGAAAGGUGUGCGUCAGGGUUGUAUUCUUUCACCAUACCUAUAUAAUCUGUAUGCUGAACAAAGAAUACGAGAAGCUGGACUAUAUGAAGAAGAAUGGGGCAUCAGGAUUGGAGGAAGACUCAUUAACAACCUGCAUUAUGCAGAUGACACAACCUUGCUUGCUGAAAGUGAAGAGGACUUGAAGCACUUACUAAUGAAGAUCAAAGACCACAGCCUUCAGUAUGGAUUACACCUCAACAUAAAGAAAACAAAAAUCCUCACAACUGGACCAAUGAGCAACGUCACGAUAAAUGGAGAAAAGAUUGAAGUUGUCAAGGAUUUCAUUUUACUUGGAUCCACAAUCAAGAGCCAUGGAAGCAGCAGUCAAGAAAUCAAAAGAUGCAUUGCAUUGGGCAAAUCUGCUGCAAAGGACCUUUUCGAAGUGUUGAAGAGCAGAGAUGUCACCCUGAAGACUAAAGUGCUCCUGACCCAAGCCAUGGUAUUUUCUUUUUUUUAUUAUUUAUUUUUAUUUUAUUUUUUAUUAACUUUUAUUGAGCUUCAAGUGAACGUUUACAAAUCAAGUCAGACUGUCACAUACAAGUUUAUAUACACCUUACUCCAUACUCCCACUUGCUCUCCCCCUAAUGAGUCAGCCCUUCCAGUCUCUCCUUUGGUGACAAUUUUGCCAGCUUCCAACUCUCUCUAUCCUCCCAUCCCCCCUCCAGACAGGAGAUGCCAACACAGUCCCAAGUGUCCACCUGAUAUAAAUAGCUCACUCUUCAUCAGCAUCUCUCUCCUACCCACUGUCCAGUCCCUUUCAUGUCUGAUGAGUUGUCUUCGGGAAUGGUUCCUGUCCUGGGCCAACAGAAGGUUUGGGGACCGUGACCGCCGGGAUUCCUCUAGUCUCAGUCAGACCAUUAAGUAUGGUCUUUUUGUGAGAAUUCGGGGUCUGCAUCCCACUGAUCUCCUGCUCCCUCAGGGGUUCUCUGUUGUGCUCCCUGUCAGGGCAGUCAUCGAUUGUGGCCAGGCACCAACUAGUUCUUCUGGUCUCAGGAUGAUGUAGGUCUCUGGUUCAUGUGGCCCUUUCUGUCUCUUGGACUGUUAGUUAUCGUGUGACCUUGGUGUUCUUCAUUCUCCUUUGCUCCAGGUGGGUUGAGACCAAUUGAUGCAUCUUAGAUGGCCACUUGUUAGCAUUUAAGAUCCCAGAUGCCACAUUUCAAAGUGGGAUGCAGAAUGUUUUCAUAAUAGAAUUAUUUUGCCAAUUGACUUAGAGGUCCCCUUAAACCAUGGUCCCCAAACCCCCGCCCUUGCUCCGCUGACCUUUGAAGCAUUCAGUUUAUCCCGGAAACUUCUUUGCUUUUGGUCCAGUCCAGUUGAACUGACCUUCCGUGUAUUGAGUAUUGUCCUUCCCUUCAACUAAAGCAGUUCUUAUCUACUAAUUAAUCAGUAAAAAACCCUCUCCCACGCUCGUAACCACAAAAGUAUGUGUUCUCAGUUUAUACUGUUUCUCAAGAUUUUAUAAUAGUGGUCUUAUACAAUAUUUGUCCUUUUGCCUCUGACUAAUUUCACUCAGCAUAAUGCCUUCCAGGUUUCUCCAUGUUAUGAAAUGUUCUACAGAUUCGUCACUGUUCUUUAUCGAUGCGUAGUAUUCCAUCGUGUGAAUGUACCACAAUUUAUUUAACCAUUCAUCCAUUGAUGGACACCUUGGUUGCUUCCAGCUUUUUGCUAUUGUAAACAGAGCUGCAAUAAACAUGGGUGUGCAUAUACAAGCCACGGUAUUUUCAAUCGCAUCAUAUGCAUGUGAAAGCUGGACAAUGAAUAAGGAAGACCGAAGAAGAGUUGACGCCUUUGAAUUGUGGUGUUGGCGAAGAAUAUUGAAUAUACCAUGGACUGCCAAAAGAACGAACAAAUCUGUUUUAGAAGAAGUACAACCAGAAUGCUCCUUAGAGGCAAGGAUGGCGAGACUGCGUCUUACAUACUUCAGACAUGUUGUCAGGAGGGAUCAGUCCCUGGAGAAGGACAUCAUGCUUGGCAGAGUACAGGGUCAGGGGAAAAUAGGAAGACCCUCAACAAGGUGGAUUGACACAGUGGCUGCAACAAUGAGCUGAAGCAUAACAACGAUUGUAGGGAUGGCACACGACUGGGCAGUGUUUCGUUUUGUUGUGCAUAGGGUUGCUAUGAGUCGGAACUGCCUCGAUGGCACCUAACAACAACAACAACAAUCAUUAUAUAGUGUCCUUCUUUAUCCUUUGUGGUGGAUUUAACUUUAAAGUCUCUUUUGUCAGCAAUUAAUAUUGCCACUCCUGCUCUUUUUUGAUUGUUGUUUGCUUGAUAUAUUUUUUUCCAUCCUUUGAGUUUUAGUUUGUUUGUGUCUCUAAGCCUAAGGUGUGUCUCUUGUAGGCAGCAUAUAGACGGAUCUUGUUUCUUUAUGCAGUCUGAGACUCUCUGUCUCUUUAUUGGUGUAUUUAGUCCAUUUAUAUUCAGCAUAAUUAUAGAUAAGUAUGAGUUUAGUGGUGUCAUUUUCAUGCUUUUUUGUGUUGUUGACAAUUUCAUUUUUCCACUUACUUUUUUGUGCUGAGAAGUUUUUCUUUGUAAAUUGUGUGUUCCUCAUUUUCAUAGUAGUUGAAUUUAUGUUUGCUGAGUCGUUAUGUUUUUCUUGGUUUUUAUUUUCAAUUGUGGAAUUGUUAGACCUCUUUGUGAUUACCUUAAUAUUUACCCCUAUUUUUCUAAGUAAAAACCUAACUUGUAUCAUCCUAUAUCACCUUGUUUUCCUCUCCAUGUGGAAGAUCUAUGCCUCCUGUAUUUAGUCCCUCUUUUUGAUUAUCGUAAUCUUUUACAUAAUGACUUCAAUGAUUCCCUGUUUUGAGCAUUUUCUUUUUUAAAUUAAUCUUGUUUUUUUUUGUGUGAUUUCGCUGUUUGAGUUGGUAUCAGGAUGUUCUGUUUUGUAACCUUGUGUUGUGUUGGUAUCUGAUAUUAUUGAUCUUCUGACCAAAAAAUUCCUUUAGUAAUUCUUGUAGCUUUGGUUUGGUUUUUGCAAAUUCUCUAGGCUUGUGUUUAUCUGUAAAUGUUUUAAUUUCACCUUCAUAUUUGAGAGAGAGUUUUGCUGGAUAUAUGAUUCUUCGCUGGCAGUUUUUCUCCUUCAGUGCUCUAUGUAUGUCAUCCCAUUGCCUUCUUGCCUGCAUGGUUUCUGCUGAGUAGUCUGAACUUAUUCUUAUUGAUUCUCCCUUGAAGGUGACUUUUCUUUUAUCCCUGGCUUCUUUUAAAAUUUUCUCUUUAUCUUUGGUUUUGGCAAGUUUGAUGAUAAUAUGCCUUGGUGAUUUUCUUUUUGGAUCAACCUUAUAUGGGGUUCGAUGAGCAUCUUGGGUAGAUAUCCUUUCGUUUUUCAUGGUGCCAGGGAAGUUUUCUGCCAACAGAUCUUUGACUAUUCUCUCUGUAUUUUCUGUUAUCCCUCCCUGUUUUGGAACUCCAAUUACAUGCAAGUUAUUCUUCUUGAUAGAGUCCCACAUGAUUCUUAGGUUUUCUUCAUUUUUUAAAAAUUCUUUUACCUGAUUUUUCUUCAACUAUAUUGGUGUCAAUUGCCUUAUCCUCCAUCUCCCCCACUCUGCAUUCCAGUUCCUCGAUUCUGCUCCUCUGGUUUCCUAUUGAGUUGUCUAAUUCUGUAAUUUUACUGUUAAUCUUUUGGAUUUCUGAAUGCUGUCUCUCUAUGGAUUCUUGCAGUUUACUGAUUUUUCCACUAUGUUCUUGAAUAAUCUUUUUGAGUUCUUCAACUGCUUUAUUAGUGUGUUCCUUGGCUUUUUCUGUAGAUUGCCUUAUUUCAUUUCUGAGGUCAUCCCUGUCUUGAAUCAUUCUGUAUAUUAGUUUUUUAUAUUCUGCAUCUGGCAAUUCCAGGAUUGUAUCUUCAUUUGGGAAAGAUUUUGACUCUUUAAUUUGGGGAUUUGUAGAAGUAAUCAUGGUCUGCUUCUUAAUGUAAUUUGAUAUUGACUGCUGUCUCUGAGCCAUCUAUAAGAUAUUGUAAUGAUUUAUUUUAUAUUUGCUGAGUCUUAUCUUGUUUUGUUUCAAUAUACCCAGAUGGGCUACUAGAUUGCGCUGUCUUAUCAUAUCGUUUGAAUCACUUAUGUCCUAUUACCAGCUGGUUUAGGCUGUUACCAGAUAUAUAAGCCUAAGAGUCUAUUCACUAUUCUUGAAUAGAAUCAUCUGAUGUGUUCUGAUUUUGGGUCACCAAGUGUGUGGUGUAGACUGUCACCUAUUAACUUAGAGGAGUAAUGGCGAUAGUUGUGUACACCAGAUUCUAGUAGCAGCAGGGGGUCACACUCCAAGGAGGGCAGGAUGCUGACAGCCUUCCCCCACGUGCCAGUGAGGUAUGUGUGUCUCUAUUCCUAAAGCACUUUGGUGGGUGGGCUCUGCAGCUGUACCUGAGGCAUGCAAUGCUUGUACCUCUAAAAAUUAGUAGGCAUCAGUAUCCUCAGAUCCCUUUGGCAGGUGGCUAGUUGGUUUGGGUGGAGCUUCAGCCCUCAGUUCCCUGUUUAAUGGGUAGAGAUAUCAGACCUGGAAAACUUAUCUUUCCAGUGCUCUGCUAAAACAAUUACAGUCAGAUAUCUAUCAGAAUUGCCUUUGCAUUAUAAUAGCCACCUUGUUCCAUGUGGGGAUGAAAGCCAAAGACUGUGGAUCUCAUAUGCUUGGCUGGAGCUGGUUCUGUAUUUUUAUUCCAGUUUAGGGAAGUCAGGGAAGGAUUUUGCAUCCCUCGGUUGUUAGUAGCUGCUUCUCUCAGGCCAGAAGAAUGGGUUAGGAAAAAAAAAAACCCACAGAGCACUUCACUCCCUGGCCCAGGAAAUUC
RNA transcript from Loxodonta africana (African savanna elephant), 23801 nucleotides. It is a transcript of the gene named solute carrier family 11 member 2, with no coding region annotated. The transcript is spliced from 21 exons. Lineage: Eukaryota; Metazoa; Chordata; Mammalia; Proboscidea; Elephantidae. The record is from RefSeq and is a predicted model, not a curated record.